Molecule: ribosomal RNA, 169 nt
Filed under: uncultured Pelotomaculum sp.
Lineage: Bacteria; Bacillati; Bacillota; Clostridia; Eubacteriales; Desulfotomaculaceae
Description: partial 16S ribosomal RNA
Rfam family: Bacterial small subunit ribosomal RNA
Source: RNAcentral
ACACACGUGUUACAAUGGCCGGUACAGACGGAGACGAAGCCGCGAGGCGGAGCAAAUCCGAAAAAGCCGGUCUCAGUUCGGAUUGCAGGCUGCAAUUCGCCUGCAUGAAGUCGGAAUCGCUAGUAAUCGCAGGUCAGCAUACUCGCGGUCCGAAUACGUUCCGGGCCUU